Molecule: long non-coding RNA, 1555 nt
Organism: Chenopodium quinoa (quinoa)
Lineage: Eukaryota; Viridiplantae; Streptophyta; Magnoliopsida; Caryophyllales; Amaranthaceae
Exons: 5
Source: RefSeq, a predicted model, not a curated record
UGUAGAAGUUUUAGGGGAAUCUAGCUGUUCCAGAUUAGCCGAGAAGUUACCAUGUAAGUUGAUUAUCCAAACUAAAGCUCUUUCUCCUAAACCCUCAAAGCUCUUCUGCAUUUUAUUUUAUUUUAUUUUAUUUAUUUAUUUAUUUUGGAAAAGGAGCAGCUAAAUUAGAUUAUCAUAAGGAAGUAGUAAAUCAUACAGACCAAGUUUAAGACAAAAGAGAGGUGAAGCAUCACCCUAGAUAGUUAUGCCACGCAGGGCCAAAUAUAAAAUUAGAGAUCCUACUGUUAAUGUUAGUGCUAAGUUAAGUUUACUGACAAAAGACAGCUUAAAAAAUAUUCACCCAAUUCUGGUCCGGGUGUUUCCAUGCUUUAGAGGGAGUUAGAAUCCUUUUUUAUAUUUUAUGAUGGUUCACGAGCAAAAGACGUGAUUAUAUAAGUUUAAAAGGUUUUGAUUUAUUGAAAAGCUGAUAGAUGCAGUGAUGCAAUUAUCUAGAACUCUAGAAGAAAGACGAACAAAUAAUAGCCAAAUUACUUCUGAUCUUUGUAACCUUCUUUACAGCAGUAUGUACGGUCUCAUUUUAUUAAUGAUUCCUCAUUGGUCAUACAGACUCCCAGAUUUUAGCAAGCAUGUUAAUAACUGUGCUCUCACUCUCUCCAAGCUGAUUACUGAACACAAAAUUUACAUUUGCAUUGCCAUGUAGAAUUUGCAAGGAAUGAUGAUGAUUUUUUUGGGUAAAUUUUGUUAGGCCAGCAAGAGUAUUGGAGAUUCGGGGAUAGCCAUCAGGACUAUAAAGUGUGUGCACUGAGGCAACGUUCAUUUUAUCUCUACAAAGAAAUGUCACCUAUGCAAGUAGAGACAGUUAUAGGGACAAAAAAUUAUUGGAGUGGAUGACUCUACGUUUAGUGGGGUAGACCUUGCAGCUAUUAUAAGAAACAAUUAUGGAAGGUCCUAUGAUGUGCAACUCAUAAACAAGGAGUUUAUGGGGAGAAACCUUCUUGCAAUGAAUGUCAUGCGGAAAAUAUAGGGAGGAGCAGAGAUCAUUUCCGUUAACUGAAGAAGAGUACAUAUUGAGGCUCGAUGAUGUGGCAAACAAUUUGAGAUGUUGGGUUGCUGUCUCACAUAUCCGAAGCAGCCUUGCAAAGUCAAAAGGAGCGGCCACAAAUUGGAAAGGCUGUAAGCAUAUUCAUAGACAUGGAUGAAUCUGGCGCUCGGUCAAAUGAAUGGAUCUACAAAUGAGUUUUUGUAAGAAUUGUAACUUACAAGUCAGGCAUUGGAUUGACCCUUUUUUUGUGGAAAGAAAUAGCUCUCAGAGGAAACGAGGUCGAGAUGAUGAAGUUACAUGUUCACCUUGUUUAGCUGCAAAAUCUUUGAUCUAAUAGUGUGUUACAUAUAGCAUAUACAUGUAUAUGGGAUUUGUAAUGUCAAUUGAAAUAUGUUUAAAAACUAUUGGAUUACAGCAUUCCAUGUUAAUCAUUAUGGCACUCAAUUUUCACCCUCAUUUGGGAACCAAAUCUUGAACCUUUAUACAAUCAAUCUUUUGGACAGAUUAUAAUCA